AGUAUUGUGACAGUAAUCCAACUUGGUACGAGAGGAUUAGUUGGUUCAGACAAUUGGUACAGCAAUUGGUUGAUAAGCCAGUGUUGCGAAGCUAAGUCUGUUGGAUAAUGACUGAACGCCUCUUAAGUCAGAACCCAUACUGAUUAGACAAUUUU
This is a non-coding RNA of Plasmodium falciparum Vietnam Oak-Knoll (FVO), 155 nucleotides long. Lineage: Eukaryota; Apicomplexa; Aconoidasida; Haemosporida; Plasmodiidae. The record is from Rfam.